GNNACGCUGCGGCGGCCUACACAUGCAAGUCGAACGGUAACAGGGGUAGCAAUACCUGCUGACGAGUGGCGCACGGGUGAGUAACGCGUAUGCAACCUGCCCUAUACUGGGGGAUAGCUCGAAGAAAUUCGGAUUAAUACCCCAUAUCAUUAAAGACAGGCAUCUGUUUUUACUGAAAGCUCCGGCGGUAUAGGAUGGGCAUGCGUGCCAUUAGUUAGUUGGUGAGGUAACGGCUCACCAAGACUAUGAUGGCUAGGGGGUCUGAGAGGAUGGUCCCCCACACUGGUACUGAGACACGGACCAGACUCCUACGGGAGGCAGCAGUGAGGAAUAUUGGUCAAUGGACGCAAGUCUGAACCAGCCAUGCCGCGUGCAGGAUGACGGCCCUAUGGGUUGUAAACUGCUUUUGUAUGGGAAGAAACCCCCGAUCGUGAUCGGGGCUGACGGUACUGUACGAAUAAGCAUCGGCUAACUCCGUGCCAGCAGCCGCGGUAAUACGGAGGAUGCAAGCGUUAUCCGGAUUUAUUGGGUUUAAAGGGUGCGUAGGCGGGGUAGCAAGUCAGUGGUGAAAGUCUGCAGCUUAACUGUAGAAUUGCCGUUGAUACUGUUACUCUUGAAUUCAGUUGAGGUAGGCGGAAUGUGUAAUGUAGCGGUGAAAUGCAUAGAUAUUACACAGAACACCGAUUGCGUAGGCAGCUUGCUAAACUGAGAUUGACGCUGAGGCACGAAAGCGUGGGGAGCAAACAGGAUUAGAUACCCUGGUAGUCCACGCCGUAAACGAUGAUUACUGGAUGUGUGCGAUA
RNAcentral lists this ribosomal RNA (803 nucleotides) under uncultured bacterium. RNAcentral's name for it is "bacterial SSU rRNA". It matches the Rfam family "Bacterial small subunit ribosomal RNA", at positions 30 to 831 of the family's 1533-position model. The record is from RNAcentral.